Molecule: long non-coding RNA, 487 nt
Organism: Cyprinus carpio carpio
Lineage: Eukaryota; Metazoa; Chordata; Actinopteri; Cypriniformes; Cyprinidae
Source: Ensembl
CCAACGUCGAGCCAACGUCUCAGGCCAACGUCAGAUUGACAUCAAAUACUGAUGUUUAGUCGUCAGGUAUGGCAACCAAAAUCCAAUGUCUUCAAGACGUCAUAAUGGUAACGUCCAAUCAACGUCAAAUUAUAACGUCAUUUGACUUUGAUCUUUAGUUAGUUUUAGGUUGUGGCAUUAACUAACCAAAAUCCAACAUCAAGACAACGUCUCAAGCCAACGUCAGAUUGACAUCAAAUACUGAUACUUAGUCGUCAGGUAUGGCAACCAAAAUCCAAUGUCUUCAAGACGUCAUAAUGGUAACGUCGAAUCAACGUCCAAUUAUAACGUCAUUUGACUUUGAUCUUUAGUUUGUUUUUAGGUUGUGACAUUAACUAACCUAAACCCAACGUCGAGCCAACGUCUCAGGCCAACGUCACAUUGACAUCAAAUACUGAUGUUUAGUCGUCAGGUAUGGCAACCAAAAUCCAAUGUCUUCAAGACGUCA